UACCACAGUAUUGAAUGCCCUGAGACAGCAGGUACCGUAAGGUGUAAGGCGUAACCGCCUGCCGAGGAACAUACAAAACUCUGAUUAUUCAUGAUGAGAUUUUGCAGACCUCUCUGUCCAUAUGGCAGAGAGGUCUUUAUGUAUUCCA
Clostridiales bacterium is the source of this 148-nucleotide non-coding RNA. The record is from Rfam. NCBI's taxonomy places the organism in Bacteria, Bacillati, Bacillota, Clostridia, Eubacteriales.